AGAGCGAACGCUGGCGGCAGGCCUAACACAUGCAAGUCGAGCGCCGUAGCAAUACGGAGCGGCAGACGGGAGAGUAACACGUGGGAACGUGCCCUUCAGUUCGGAACAACCCAGGGAAACUUGGGCUAAUACCGGAUACGUCCGUAAGGAGAAAGAUUUAUCGCUGAAGGAUCGGCCCGCGUCUGAUUAGCUAGUUGGUGAGGUAACGGCUCACCAAGGCGACGAUCAGUAGCUGGUCUGAGAGGAUGAUCAGCCUCACUGGGACUGAGACACGGCCCAGACUCCUACGGGAGGCAGCAGUGGGAAUAUUGGACAAUGGGCGCAAGCCUGAUCCAGCCAUGCCGCGUGGGUGAUGAAGGCCCUAGGGUUGUAAAGCCCGUUUCGGCGGGGAAGAUAAUGACGGUACCGUAGAAGAAGCCCCGGCUAACUUCGUGCCAGCAGCCGC
Molecule: ribosomal RNA, 445 nt
Filed under: uncultured bacterium
Lineage: Bacteria
Description: SSU rRNA
Rfam family: Bacterial small subunit ribosomal RNA
Source: RNAcentral